UUCGGCACUGCAAACGGAGUCCUCGGGCGUUCGGGAAGGUUCCGCCUCGGUGAUCUCGAUGUCCUGGUGAUGCUUGUUGCUGCGGUGUUUGGCACUAAGAGCCUGUGAAAUUGGGAUACACCUUAGUUACCUUUUACUCUCUAUCAUCCAAGAAACUCUAGUUAUUUGUAUAUGUUUCGUGUGCAAUCUGUUUUGGAUUAGACAUGAAGUGCUAUCUAUGGACGGACACAUGCACACACGCAGACACACAAAUUGGGUUUGGUUUUUGGGUUUUUAUCGGGGGACUUGUGUCUAAGUUUAUAGACAAACGUGCGAGAAGUUCUUUUAGUAUCUUUUAGAGUUUAGUUUACAGUCACAACACAGAUAUUAUUUAUAGGGGUUAGAUUUUAGGAAUUCUAGUAUGCGGCCGUCAGUUCUUACCUUAUCCUUGCUGCCCUUUUUCUACAUUCAACAUUGGUGGUUAAUGUUUUGUUUGGUUUGGUUGUGGUGGGAUUCGAUUAUAUUGUACAUAGCCAUGACAAAAACAAUGAUAUUUAUAGAUGUAUUAAUAUUAGUGGCAAACAAUUCACAUUGGGUGAGCAAUAGAAAUAGAUAGCCGGAAACGGAAGCGGAAAGAGAGACUGGAUAGAGAAAGAUCUAGGGAGCUCGGGAUGGGCAGCAUAAGGUUUGGUUUCGGUUUGAAGAAAUACAGCUAUGUCGAUCUGAGAAACAGAGUCCUACAGCCCGGUCCCCCAAAAUGGCUUCGGUGAUGUCAUGUACAGUGAGCACUAUGGCUGGUGGACUGACCACACUGCUACACCGGAUGAGGUGACCGCGACUCACCUGCAGGGAGAAGCGACGGUGACCCGCCUUCCGUCCGCCACGUCGCUUACUGAUGUGCGGAUUGUCCUGCCUCAGAGUCUUGUUUUUCAUAAUCUCCAGUUGAGUGUACAGUCUGCAAUCAUCAAGGCUCCCGGAACUUAUGAUCUCUUCAUACGUACCUUUUAAGUUCGGCGCGUAUGUCCUCGGGACUCAUUUCGGAUAUGGUCAGCUCCCCGAUGUCCGGAUCGCCCAGACAGAGCCCGGCAUAUCCUCCGCCCAGCCGCUGGCCGGCGUCGUGCGACGUACCCUUGAAAGCAUCCACAGGUAAACGUAUUGAUAGAUCAUACGCUAGCGAACGAACCUGCAAGCUAUGAAGAUGCAACAAACACCGCAAACCACACUCAGGAAGUAAAACGGAAAAUGGAGAACGGAAACGGAAAUGGAAAUGGAACUCAGGGUAAAAGAGAGCGAAAACAGAACAGAAUAGAAUAGAAUAGUCCUGUGCUGGAGGUCAUGUAUUUAUGUAUAUUUAUGUAUGUGGAAUGGCUGGUGCUUAUUGGUUGUGAGUAUGUCUGUUUUUGUGCUGGAAAUGAAAAGUUAAACAAAAUAAUCAAAAAAGAAACUCAAACGUUGAAAAAGAUGGACGUUAGCUAUAAGAAAACUACUUAGACAGAGAAUUUCAGUUAAAGAUUAUUCGGUUGAGAGACACAAAGACAGAGAUAGUUGCAGUGAGGAGAAUUUUGGAAACACUAGAUUGGAUUUCUCUUGGUAUGCAUAUUUUGGAUUUUGUAGGAAACCGAUUUUUGUCAUUUGUUUUUAUAGUUGAUGUUGUGUUGGAAAAAUCAUGCAAAAAACAAUGCAAACCUUGCAAAUAAAAUAGCGUGCUAGUUAAGUUAAAGUGUAAUAGUUUCAAGCAUAAAGAAUAGGAGCUAAAAACAGACUAGCAUUCGGAGACAAAACGAGACACACUUGCAGCAACUUCAUAGCUUGACUAAAGUUUCAAUUCAAUGUUAGCUUAAUUCUAAAAUUAUGUUAAUUUUCUCGAUGAAACCAGAACAGUAACUAAAAAUAACUAUAACCAACUGAAAAAUUCAAUUAUUUUAGCAAAAGCAAAAAAGCUUUUGGUUGGGUUUCCCCUUUUAUAGUUUUUUAAUUGUAGUGGCUAGUUAUUAACAAAAAUCGUUUCCUCAACCAAUGUGAAUACCAAAUACGGAUUUCGAUGACAAUUAUGACGUCCACGCCACCGACAGACAGCACAAAGUGAACGGUAAUGAAUACUCUAAGCAUAUAUAUUUAAAGCCCGUCUAGGACUCAACGGCUCCCAACUAAAUCACAAUGUGUUCAACUAAAGAGCGCACUCAAAACCAAGGAAAUCAAAGGAAAAUAAGUAAAUUAAAAUGCUGCGAACUAAUGUCGGUUACCUGCUUGUGCUGAUACCACAGCUUUGGCACAAAUAUCAGACCCAAGGCGAAGCUGUUCGUCAGCUGGGAGCGGAUGAAGAGGGCCAGCAGAAUGGCGCUGGGACUCAUUUCCGGCAGGUAGACAAAGCGCAGAAAGUAGAAGCUGGACGAGACCAGGAACUCCAGCGUCAGGGCGGUCACCAGAAAUUGCCGUUCCUGUGCGGGGGCGAAAGGAAAUAGUCGGUUAAUUCAUUUUAAUGCCGUUUGCUUACACUUGUAAAGAAGUAAAUCUUACCCGGAACUGGGUGUUGGCAUUCCGACUGGCGAUGGACAGGUGCAGCCCGAAGCACAGGAUGAGCAUCUCGCUGGUCUGCGUGACCAGCUCCCACUUGAGCGGGUGGCAGGUG
Molecule: long non-coding RNA, 2608 nt
Organism: Drosophila gunungcola (fruit fly)
Lineage: Eukaryota; Metazoa; Arthropoda; Insecta; Diptera; Drosophilidae
Exons: 3
Source: RefSeq, a predicted model, not a curated record